This 250-nucleotide ribosomal RNA is filed under the name uncultured bacterium. RNAcentral's name for it is "partial 16S ribosomal RNA". It matches the Rfam family "Bacterial small subunit ribosomal RNA", at positions 57 to 305 of the family's 1533-position model. The record is from RNAcentral.
GCAAGUCGAACGGAAACGAUGGUAGCUUGCUACCAGGCGUCGAGUGGCGGACGGGUGAGUAAUACUUAGGAAUCUGCCCAGUAGCGGGGGAUAACUCGAGGGAACUCGAGCUAAUACCGCAUACGCCCUACGGGGGAAAGCAGGGGAUCUUCGGACCUUGCACUAUUGGAUGAGCCUAAGCGAGAUUAGCUUGUUGGUGAGGUAAAAGCUCACCAAGGCGACGAUCUCUAGCUGGUCUGAGAGGACGAUC